RNAcentral lists this unclassified non-coding RNA (4796 nucleotides) under Hevea brasiliensis (rubber tree). The record is from RNAcentral. Lineage: Eukaryota; Viridiplantae; Streptophyta; Magnoliopsida; Malpighiales; Euphorbiaceae.
GUACAAUAGCAAAACAGGACAACUAACCAAAAUGGAAGAUAGUAAAGAGGUGGUUCAUCCGUCGCACUUUGAUAACUCCGCCCUUUCCAACUCUUAACGGACUUCUCAAAGCCUCUCAGAGGAGCUUUGAUACUUAAACCAUCCAAGAAUUCCUACAUUGCCUCACUCACAUUAGAUCUUCUUCUCUUCGUCGGAGCUCUAACACUGCUCACCAGAAAACCAAAAUGCACUCGUCAUUUUCGCUUUCCCUCUCUCAACCCAUUACAGUUCCCAGAUCAAAUCACGCGUUUGAUUCCAUCCCUUUCGCUCCCUCCAAGCCUAUAAAUCUCCGAUUUUGUGGUCUGAGAAGGGAGACCUUGGGCUUCUCUUCUCUUUCUCGUUCUCACUCUCGGCGAGGACUUCAGCUGCACACUACAACUACUUCAAAAGGAAUUUCAGCUUCUCUCGCUGAUAAUGGAAGCCCUCCAAAGUCGUUCGAUUACGAUUUGAUCAUUAUCGGAGCUGGUGUUGGUGGUCAUGGGGCUGCACUUCAUGCUGUCGAGAAGGGCCUGAAGACUGCUAUCAUUGAGGGAGAUGUGGUUGGAGGCACAUGUGUAAACAGAGGAUGCGUUCCUUCCAAAGCUCUUCUGGCUGUUAGUGGUCGCAUGCGGGAGCUUCAGAGCGAGCAUCAUAUGAGAGCUUUGGGUCUGCAGGUUUCAGCAGCCGGGUAUGACAGACAGGGAGUUGCUGAUCACGCAAACAACCUUGCUUCAAAAAUUCGUAACAAUUUAACAAAUUCUUUAAAGGCACUUGGUGUGGACAUAUUGACGGGGCUUGGCGCAGUUUUGGGCCCACAAAAGGUGAAGUAUGGGAAAGCUGGUUUUCCUGACAACAUAGUGACUGCAAAAGAUAUAAUUAUAGCUACUGGUUCUGUUCCUUUUGUGCCCAAGGGCAUUGAAGUUGAUGGGAAGACUGUAAUUACAAGUGACCAUGCACUCAAACUGGAGUUUGUUCCUGAUUGGAUUGUAAUUGUAGGAAGUGGUUAUAUUGGUCUAGAAUUCAGUGAUGUAUAUACUGCACUUGGAAGUGAGGUCACCUUUGUUGAAGCUCUAGAUCAGCUUAUGCCUGGCUUUGAUCCUGAGAUUGGGAAGUUGGCUCAAAGAGUACUCAUAAAUCCAAGGAAAAUUGACUAUCAUACUGGAGUAUUUGCAAGCAAGAUCACUUCAGCAAAGGAAGGGAAACCUGUCACUAUUGAGCUUAUUGAUGCCAAGACCAAGGAACACAAAGAUACUUUGGAGGUGAUUUGAGUUAUGUGAAAUCAAGAAGUUUGAGCGUCAGAUCCUGAUAAGAAUCUUUAUUACUGUCCUAUGAAGUAAAAACAUGUUGCUUAGUUCCUUCCACUCCAAUAUAGUUCCUUCCACUUCAAAUAUUGGAGUGGAGAGGUCCAUUGAUUAAAAUUUUUAAUCAUUCUGCCAGUAUAUUUUGAUUUGGUCAUAUUCAUCCAUUAAAUUCUUGUGUUGUUAACUAGUUGAAACAAACUUGGUUAAUGAACUUACAUAUCCUAUUUUUAGGAACUUGUGGUAGACUAGUUAAUAUGCAAAUGGACCCUUUUUUUUAUUUGUCUAAAUAAUGUGAGUUAAAGUUCUAUAUUUUGGUACUUAUUUAAUCACCAUUCACAAGGAUAGUGAUAGCAGAAACUAGAAAGUAUUGAAAACUUGAAUAUGUGUGGUUCCUGCUUUCUUAUUGUCAGGCAAUUAGCAACACAGAUGCGCAUAAUAUUGACCUUACGUAAACAUUCAAACUACGGAUUGUAUUCAAAUUCUAUGUUAGCAAUAAUGAUCUUUCUUUAAUGUGUGAUGCGUAUGUCAUGACAUCUGUGGUAACUUUGUCUUUGCUUUGGCUAUAGGUUGAUGCAGCUUUAAUUGCAACCGGAAGAGCUCCAUUCACAAAUGGUCUUGGUUUGGAGAAUAUCAAUGUUGUGACACAACGUGGUUUUGUCCCUGUUGAUGAUCGUAUGCGUGUUAUUGAUGCUGACGGAAAUCUGGUACCUCACUUGUAUUGUAUUGGUGAUGCAAAUGGUAAAAUGAUGCUUGCUCAUGCAGCCAGCGCACAAGGAAUUUCAGGUUAAUUGUAAAUAGUUAUGUUGAUUGUUACUUCAAAAUCUGGUGCUUUCUUUUAACCCAUUUUAUGUUUUUCAUGUACAGUGGUUGAACAAAUCACCGGAAGAGAUCAUGUGCUAAAUCAUUUAAGCAUUCCAGCAGCUUGUUUCACUCAUCCUGAAAUCAGUAUGGUUGGAUUGACAGAGGUGCCUUUUUACAUUCAAUAUUUCUUUCUUAUGUUGCUUCAUUUGUCUAUUUCCUUUUUGAUUGUCAAAUUCAAGUAGGAGGUCUAAUUUUGCUUUCUUUUUACAUAUGAUGUACUGUUAACUGAACAUUACAUUCUCAGCCUCAAGCAAGGGAGAAAGGUGAAACAGAAGCAUUUGAAGUAAGUGUUGCCAAGACAAGUUUUAAGGCCAACACAAAGGCCCUUGCAGAAAAUGAAGGAGAGGGACUUGCCAAGGUUACAUUUCUCAACUGCUUUCCUUCUUCAAUAGUGUUUUCUGCAAACAUAAUGCAAAUAGUCAUUGUCUUCCUGUUGUCGUCCUCUUUAAAUGGAUAGCUAGUGAUUAUCUUUCUAGAGCUGUUCCUUGGCAGUUUAUUGGUACAUAAAUUAUUUAAUCAUUAUCUAAAUUUGUUGAAUGCUAUAUGAUCUCUCGCAUUGUUGAUGGGCAUCAUGAAGUGCAAUAUCAUUCAUCUUAGAUCCAAUGCACCAUAUCUGAAAUCGAUGUAACUGACAAUUAAAUAAUAGGAAUUAUUUUAUGCUUUAUGAUCUUUUUAGCUUUGUAAAGGAUUUGCUUGAUCUGUUGUAUUCAUAUAUGGCUCAAGUGAAGAUGAGAUGUGCAAUUGUCAAGUGCUAAAUUUCCACACUUAAACAAGGAUCUUAAACAAGAAUAGUAUCCAGUAGAUAUAUCUGUGAAGUAUAGAUUUUCUUAUGUAAAAUUUUGUCAAGCAUUAAAUAAUAUUGAAGCAGGUAAGCAACUAAAGCAAAGUUUCUGUUGAUGUUGUUUGUCCAUUCCCUCAGUUGCCCCAUUUUUCUCUUCUCAUGCUAUGCUUUCUUUAUCAUGAAGAAAAGUUAAUUCCUGGAACUGUUCCAUAGUCAUUUUUGGUACUUAAUUAGUUGCAUCUACUUAGUAGCAAGGUGUGAGAAAUCAAAAGAAAAGAAGCAUGAAUUUGUGGGUAUUUCCCCCAUUGAAUAACCAUAUUGGUUUCCAAAUGAAGUUUGUUAGGUGUUUUAUAUAAUAUGGACCAAUAGUUUUACAUUGGAUGAACCAACAUGAUGUUAGAGGUUAAUUUCAUUAUGCCAUUUCGUUUUUGUUACUGUCUAUCAUGUGUGUAAUGUUGGUAUGUAUUACGUAGGCUUGCAUUUGGAGGCUUGUUCAAUAAUCCCAUGAAUUUUGGUGCGGCCUUGUAUGGUGUAUAGACCUCUUCACCCAAUAGCUUAAACUUUUAUAUGCUUCCUCACUCCCUCCAUGCUGUGUGCUUGUUUUCUUGCUGCAUCCACUAAAUGUACCUUUUAGAUUUUGAUUUUGAUUUGACAUGCAAGAUUUUCAGUUACCACUUUGGAUUGUAAUUUAAUCUAAUAUGACUAACUUCCAUGGUUGCUAUGUUUUAAUCUUCAUGCAGUUGAUAUAUAGACCUGACACUGGGGAGAUACUUGGAGUUCAUAUUUUUGGGUUGCAUGCUGCUGAUCUCAUCCAUGAAGCAUCCAAUGCUAUAGCGUUGGGGACCCGCAUUCAGGAUAUAAAAUUUGCUGUACAUGCACAUCCAACUCUGUCUGAAGUCCUUGAUGAACUUUUUAAAUCAGCAAAGGUGAGUUUCUCAUCCAAUAUUCACUUCUAAUAUCACAUCAACCAUCACUGUACUUGUCUUUUUUUUCCUUGUGUUUGAUGCGAACAGAAAAGAAAAUGAAACUGAUAAAAGGCAAUUUCUUGGUUAUGAAACUGAUAGAAAGGUUUGGCUUGGUUUUUUGGUUAUGACAUUAUAUCCACACUCACCUUCGAAUGGAAAUUACUGAAUGCAACACCACACAUAUUAUUGAUACAAAUAUUUGCUCGGAUUGAGCUACUCUGCAAUUAAAAACUCUCUUAACAAAUUUUUUUUUUUCUAUAAAAUGCAUUUUGUUGAGUAUAAUACCUGUUUUCACAAAAAGUUUUCUAAUUUCCCAGUCCUGAUAUUGUUCACACACAUUUGUUGCAUAUAUUUUUGUUUAGCUGAAGACAGCACCAUCCAUGUACAAGCUAGUGACCGAAGUUUUUAAUUUAUGGGGCAGGUUGAAGCUCAUGUUUCAAGCCAGGUGAGUGAACCAGUUGCAGUCUAGGCAUCUCAGUACUAAUAGUACAAAAUUUUGAAGAAAUUUGCUUGUGUUAAAAAGUGCCAAGGAACUAUAUGCUCCUAGACUGGAGAAGUCAACAAAUAUGUUCUGCUGUUAGAAGAAACAUCUUAAAAAAAUUUUACGAUUUUCUUGGAGGUCGGUGGGAUGGGAAUAUCUUUUGGGUGUUGCAUUGGUUUCUUGAGCUUGUUGUAAAUCUGUUUAAAUACCAGUCCGUAGGUAUUUAAGUGUAAGAUGAAUUUUAUGCUAUAAUUUGGACAAUGACUCCACAUGAGUUCGUAAUAGAGCUCAGCAUUCUGAUGUUAUCAUUUGACCGAGGAAGCGAGAAAUGCUUGGCGGAUCAAUACGGUGUAAACUGCUGUUACCAUUUCAAAAAUUUUUGUUAAUAA